RNAcentral lists this long non-coding RNA (512 nucleotides) under Cricetulus griseus (Chinese hamster). RNAcentral describes it as "lncRNA (ENSCGRG00000025725.1)". The record is from RNAcentral. Lineage: Eukaryota; Metazoa; Chordata; Mammalia; Rodentia; Cricetidae.
GUUGCCUGGGAAACCAGAAAGUUUUGUGACAGCUGGCCCUCCUACUUGCUUUCCUCUCUCGAGUCUUUUGUUUAAACUUUUUUUUUUUAAAAAAAUUCCAUUUAUCUGUGUGCACAUGAGUGGCUAUGCACGAGCCGAGGCACGCGUGUGGAGGUCAGAGGACAACUUUCGGGAGACAUAGACACCCUGGAAAUCUAACCCCGGCUGUCAGCGUGGUGCACCAGAACCAGCAUCCUGAGUUACGCUGUGAUACCCCUGGGCCUGAGCUCCCAUCUCGGAUGAACAGUCCUGAAGCAAUCACUGAAGUUGGUAUUGUGCUUAUUUGGUCCCAAGAAGUCCCAGGGUACAGCCCCUCAGGAGGUGGGACACCAAGUGACCGUCUCAACAGUGGCUCACCUAGAGCAAUGUCCCCAAGAAAACUAGACAUGAGUCUCAACAGACAGACUAUGCAAGCUGUAAAACAACCUAAAAACCAGAAGGUGGGCCCCAACCAGGUGACCAUCAGUGCAUGA